CCUACGGGAGGCAGCAGUGGGGAAUAUUGCACAAUGGGCGCAAGCCUGAUGCAGCGACGCCGCGUGGGGGAUGAAGGCCUUCGGGUUGUAAACCCCUUUCAGCAGGGAAGAAGCGAGAGUGACGGUACCUGCAGAAGAAGCGCCGGCUAACUACGUGCCAGCAGCCGCGGUAAU
This 174-nucleotide ribosomal RNA is filed under the name uncultured bacterium. RNAcentral's name for it is "partial 16S ribosomal RNA". It matches the Rfam family "Bacterial small subunit ribosomal RNA", at positions 338 to 524 of the family's 1533-position model. RNAcentral also lists the same sequence under 1 other name. The record is from RNAcentral.